GGGGGUGUAGCUCAAUGGUAGAGU
This 24-nucleotide non-coding RNA is filed under the name Cricetulus griseus (Chinese hamster). The record is from RNAcentral. Lineage: Eukaryota; Metazoa; Chordata; Mammalia; Rodentia; Cricetidae.